UAUAGCUCAGCCUGGUAGAGCGCUUGCUUUGGGAGCAAGAUGUCGGAGGUUCGAAUCCUCUUGUC
This 65-nucleotide transfer RNA is filed under the name bovine gut metagenome. It matches the Rfam family "tRNA", at positions 6 to 65 of the family's 71-position model. Rfam says of the family: Transfer RNA (tRNA) molecules are approximately 80 nucleotides in length. Their secondary structure includes four short double-helical elements and three loops (D, anti-codon, and T loops). Further hydrogen bonds mediate the characteristic L-shaped molecular structure. tRNAs have two regions of fundamental functional importance: the anti-codon, which is responsible for specific mRNA codon recognition, and the 3' end, to which the tRNAs corresponding amino acid is attached (by aminoacyl-tRNA synthetases). tRNAs cope with the degeneracy of the genetic code in two manners: having more than one tRNA (with a specific anti-codon) for a particular amino acid; and 'wobble' base-pairing, i.e. permitting non-standard base-pairing at the 3rd anti-codon position. The record is from RNAcentral.